Molecule: long non-coding RNA, 2148 nt
Filed under: Equus caballus (horse)
Lineage: Eukaryota; Metazoa; Chordata; Mammalia; Perissodactyla; Equidae
Description: lncRNA (ENSECAG00000055875.1)
Source: RNAcentral
CCUAUUGCCACUGUCCUGAGAAAGGGUCUACGAAUGUCUGAGUCUCAGUCUCCUCCUCGACUCACAUAAUCUAGGUUUAAAUCUAGCUUUGUCACCUCGUGGCUGUGUGAUUUUUGACAAGUUACUUAAACCUGAUCCGCAGGUACUACAGCUUUAAAAUGGGGCCAACAGAAGUACCUUGAACGCAGGUGUUGCUCAGAUUUCAGGCAAUAAGCAUGAAGUGCUCACCACAGCUUCUGAUCUAUCAUCAGAGCUCGUCUCCUUGUGGUUGCUCCUGCUCUUACGAGUCGGCAUAGAAAGGAGGCUGGUGUUCCAGGCUCACCCUGGUGGCCCGUCCCAAUUGUUACCCGCAGACAACCAUGCUCCAGAAACAGAUGAUCCUCUUUCUGAGGGAUGGUCAGAAGGUCAGCAGUAGCCUAACUCUAGGUCACAAUGCCUACGUCAUUCACCUCACUUUAUCCUGUUACACAGAAAGCAUUGGCUUUACCAUUUUUUAGUUGAAGAAACUGAAGCUAGAAAAUUAAAGCCACAAAGCUAGGAGGCGAUGCAGCAGAAAUUUGAACCCAGGACAUGCUGGUGCGACUGCAAACCCAAGUGAUUUCCACUCUCUGUGCUGCCUCCCUGGAAGGCCUGAAUGCACUCUUGACGGGCUGUGUUGGGUCGUGAGCAUCAGUCUGGCUCAUGGCUUCCUUCAGUGCAGAGGAAGUUAACACCGGAGGGAACAGAUGAGCGGAUAAUGUGAGCCUGGAAAUAUGACUUUGCUGCACUUCACCAGAUGAGUUCGAGCGGAAUACCAGAUGGUGCUACCUCAUUUGUGUUUUUACAAAUAUGCAAUUCUUUUAUUUUUUUAAAGAAGAAAUAGAGAUCAUGUUGGUCCCAGGAAAAUAUAAAAAUUCUUAUGUUUUGCUGCAAUGUUGCCUUGUUGUCCUAUCUCAUAUAAGGAUGAUAUAAGCCUUAUUACAACAUAUAUGUGUGUUUUAAGAUUUUUAUAAUACUUUGUUUAAAAUACCCCUGUAUUUUUCCUGUUAUAAAGCAAUAUGUGUUCAUACUAAAACAUUUAGAACAUAUAGAUAAGUAAUAAUACUACCAUACUGAAUUGGCGACUGUUAACUAUUUGGUGCAUAUCCUUUCAUAAAUAUAUUGAUGCAUUUUUCUCAAGAGCUCCACUUUUAAAAUGUUCUUAACUGUACCAAAGAUGCUGAUUGGACAAAUGUUUCUUUAGGCUUUAUGAUCUUCUCAACAAACACUUUUAUUCAUCUCAUUACCGGGCACUCCUGUCCACACAAUUGCUCAUGCUGGAUAUCUAGCAGUCAGUUUUGGUACCUCCUUCUCCCCUCACCUCCCACAUCUGAUCUGUUACCAAGUCCUAUUGAUUCUACCUGUCUUCAUCCACCUUGCUGCAUCUCCACUGCCAUCACGUGCUUACUGGCCCAUGCAAAUAUUUCUUGCUGCCUGGAAUGCUCCCCUUUGUUCAUCUCCGUACCUCUUGCUCUCCCGAGGCCCCUUCCCUCUUGUCUUCACCUUCCUAAUAACUGCUUGCCCUUUAGAUUUCAUUUUUUGGUAUCAUUUCUUCCAGGAAACCCUUUCUGAUAAACCCAUCCAGACUGGAUUUGGUAUGUCUUCUGUAUGCUUUCUUAGCACCAUAUAUACGUCUCUAUUAUGCCACUUUUCACCCUGGAACUGCACCCUGUUUACCUUGCCGUGUUCCUCACUGUGUUCACUUAGCAAGUGCCUGCCCUUGCAGGUGAUUGAUACGUAUUGUUGGAUGGAUGAAUGGGCAUAGUAGGAAAUUAGGUUUAAUGGGAUCAGUUUUGGCCUCUGAGAACCAUAUUGAUUUUUGAGUAAAGGAGUGAUGCAGAAACACCUGACUUUAGAACUGGUAGUUUAUGGAGGACAAAUUGAAAAGAAAUGAGGUAAACUAAAGAGUACUACCAGGAGAUUGCUGCCUGAUUGAAGGGGAAAGUACCAACAACAUUGACUCUUGUUAUUGGGAAUAGGAAGGUACGAAUAUGAGGUCCCUCAAAUGAAUAAGCAAAGACCUGCUCCUGGUCACUCUUGGGUUAAAUAAUGCAAGUGGAACUGUCAGGGGUCCAUCCCAAAUAGCUCAGACAGACAAUUCUAACAGAAGAGGUGAUGGCUACAGGCUAG